This 413-nucleotide ribosomal RNA is filed under the name uncultured Streptococcus sp. RNAcentral's name for it is "bacterial SSU rRNA". It matches the Rfam family "Bacterial small subunit ribosomal RNA", at positions 967 to 1382 of the family's 1533-position model. Lineage: Bacteria; Bacillati; Bacillota; Bacilli; Lactobacillales; Streptococcaceae. The record is from RNAcentral.
AACCUUACCAGGUCUUGACAUCCGAUGCUAUUCUAGAGAUAGAAAGUUACUUCGGUACAUCGGUGACAGGUGGUGGCAUGGUUGUCGUCAGCUCGUGUCGUGAGAUGUUGGGUUAAGUCCCGCAACGAGCGCAACCCCUAUUGUUAGUUGCCAUCAUUCAGUUGGGCACUCUAGCGAGACUGCCGGUAAUAAACCGGAGGAAGGUGGGGAUGACGUCAAAUCAUCAUGCCCCUUAUGACCUGGGCUACACACGUGCUACAAUGGUUGGUACAACGAGUUGCGAGUCGGUGACGGCGAGCUAAUCUCUUAAAGCCAAUCUCAGUUCGGAUUGUAGGCUGCAACUCGCCUACAUGAAGUCGGAAUCGCUAGUAAUCGCGGAUCAGCACGCCGCGGUGAAUACGUUCCCGGGCCUU